UUCGUGUGAACAGUGGUUGAUCACGAGUUAGUCGGUCCUAAGUUCAAGGCGAAAGCCGAAAAUUUUCAAGUAAUAUUUAAUGAUUGAAUCAUGAUAAUUUAUAUAUAAUAUAUAUAUAUUUUUUGACUUAUAUUUUUAUGAAACACUUGAAUAAUUUUGAACGAAAGGGAAUACGGUUCCAAUUCCGUAACCUGUUGAGUAUCCGUUUGUUAUUAAAUAUGGGCCUCGUGCUCAUCCUGGUAACAGGAACGACCAUAAAGAAGCCGUCGAGAGAUAUCGGAAGAGUUUUCUUUUCUGUUUUAUAGCCGUACUACCAUGGAAGUCUUUCGCAGAGAGAUAUGGUAGAUGGGCUAGAAGAGCAUGACAUAUACUGUUGUGUCGAUAUUUUCUCCUCGGACCUUGAAAAUUUAUGGUGGGGAUACGCAAACUUCUCAACAGGCCGUACCAAUAUCCGCAGCUGGUCUCCAAGGUGAAGAGUCUCUAGUC
RNAcentral lists this ribosomal RNA (486 nucleotides) under Dichaetophora acutissima. RNAcentral's name for it is "partial 28S ribosomal RNA". It matches the Rfam family "Eukaryotic large subunit ribosomal RNA", at positions 1508 to 1888 of the family's 3401-position model. Lineage: Eukaryota; Metazoa; Arthropoda; Insecta; Diptera; Drosophilidae. The record is from RNAcentral.